GUGAGGAAUAUUGGUCAAUGGGCGAGAGCCUGAACCAGCCAAGUCGCGUGAAGGAAGAAGGAUCUAUGGUUCGUAAACUUCUUUUGCAGGGGAAUAAAGUGCGGGACGUGUCCUGUUUUGUAUGUACCCUGAGAAUAAGGAUCGGCUAACUCCGUGCCAGCAGCCGCGGUAAUACGGAGGAUCCGAGCGUUAUCCGGAUUUAUUGGGUUUAAAGGGUGCGUAGGUGGUUUGAUAAGUCAGCGGUGAAAGUUUGCAGCUUAACUGUAAAAAUGCCGUUGAAACUGUCGGACUUGAGUGUAAAUGAGGUAGGCGGAAUGCGUGGUGUAGCGGUGAAAUGCAUAGAUAUCACGCAGAACUCCGAUUGCGAAGGCAGCUUACUAAGCUACAACUGACACUGAAGCACGAAAGCGUGGGGAGCAAACAGGAUUAGAUACCCGUGUAGUCC
RNAcentral lists this ribosomal RNA (445 nucleotides) under uncultured bacterium. RNAcentral's name for it is "partial 16S ribosomal RNA". It matches the Rfam family "Bacterial small subunit ribosomal RNA", at positions 354 to 796 of the family's 1533-position model. The record is from RNAcentral.